AAUCAACGCUGGCGGCGUGCCUCAGACAUGCAAGUCGAACGAUUAAAGCUCUCUUCGGAGAGUGCACAAAGUGGCGCACGGGUGAGUAACACGUAAGUAAUCUACCUUCGAGUGGGGAAUAACGUCCGGAAACGGACGCUAAUACCGCAUAAUGCAGCGGCACCUAAUGGUGACAGUUGUUAAAGAAUUUAUUCGCUUGAAGAGGAGCUUGCGGCAGAUUAGCUAGUUGGUAAGGUAAUGGCUUACCAAGGCUUCGAUCUGUAACCGGUCUAAGAGGACAGUCGGUCACACUGACACUGAAUAACGGGUCAGACUCCUACGGGAGGCAGCAGUCGGGAAUUUUGGGCAAUGGGCGAAAGCCUGACCCAGUAACGCCGCGUGAAGGAUGAAGUAUUUCGGUAUGUAAACUUCGAAAGAAUGGGAAGAAUCAAUGACGGUACCAUUUAUAAGGUCCGGCUAACUACGUGCCAGCCGCCGCGGUAA
Molecule: ribosomal RNA, 483 nt
Filed under: uncultured bacterium
Lineage: Bacteria
Description: partial 16S ribosomal RNA
Rfam family: Bacterial small subunit ribosomal RNA
Source: RNAcentral